GGGUUACGCGCUCAGCGCCCGACCUCCAACCCUUUGUUGUUAAAACUACCUUGUUGCUUUGGCGGGACCGCUCGGUCUCGAGCCGCUGGGGAUUCGUCCCAGGCGAGCGCCCGCCAGAGUUAAACCAAACUCUUGUUAUUAAACCGGUCGUCUGAGUUAAAAUUUUGAAUAAAUCAAAACUUUCAACAACGGAUCUCUUGGUUCUCGCAUCGAUGAAGAACGCAGCGAAAUGCGAUAAGUAAUGUGAAUUGCAGAAUUCAGUGAAUCAUCGAAUCUUUGAACGCACAUUGCGCCCCUUGGUAUUCCGAGGGGCAUGCCUGUUCGAGCGUCAUUACACCACUCAAGCUAUGCUUGGUAUUGGGUGCCGUCCUUAGUUGGGCGCGCCUUAAAGACCUCGGCGAGGCCUCACCGGCUUUAGGCGUAGUAGAAUUUAUUCGAACGUCUGUCAAAGGAGAGGACUUCUGCCGACUGAAACCUUUAUUUUUCUAGGUUGACCUCGGAUCAGGUAGGGAUACCCGCUGAACUUAAGCAUAUCAAUAAGCCGGAGGAAAGAUAUUUUGGGCC
Molecule: ribosomal RNA, 564 nt
Filed under: Aureobasidium sp. 42L-5A
Lineage: Eukaryota; Fungi; Ascomycota; Dothideomycetes; Dothideales; Saccotheciaceae
Description: eukaryotic LSU rRNA
Rfam family: 5.8S ribosomal RNA (bases 178-331)
Source: RNAcentral